Molecule: long non-coding RNA, 1454 nt
Organism: Micropterus salmoides (largemouth bass)
Lineage: Eukaryota; Metazoa; Chordata; Actinopteri; Centrarchiformes; Centrarchidae
Exons: 7
Source: RefSeq, a predicted model, not a curated record
ACAGCGCGAGGGCUGGCUUGACUGUUGUUUUCGAAGUGGAGGCUGGCUUGACUUCAGUGAGGACACGUAGUCCGUUAAAAUGUAUUUUCUAAGUAUUUCUUCAUCGCCUUCAUGUUAAAAGUCAUGUCUGCCCCGCUGCUGUCAUGGUAACGUUACGAUUCACCGUCACCCUCAUCUAAAGUUCGGCUGUUUCAUAUUUAUUUAUUUAUUUAACUCUGAUUACAGACAAUCUGACUGUCUGCGCAGUCUGUGAGUUGUUUUCUUUGCAUCUGAUUAUCACACUGCAUAUUAUUCAAUACUGAAAUAAAUCCAUGUCAGAAACAUUUAAAGUUUGAAGUAGAUUAAUGUCUGUUAUUGUCUUGGAGAGUCUCCAUCCAGCUGGAUCUGUGUCACAGGUGAGGAGCUAACAUUUGAUUUGAGGACUCACUUCAUCCAGAGGUUCACCUGACCAGGUGGAUUCUGUCUACAGGUAAACCUACAAGCCCCCACCUCAGUCCCCCUCCAGCUUGUGUUCAGACUGAUCCGCCACCUGGUGGUCUUCUGUCCCUGCUGCAUCUCCACUGUACUCAUGGUGUCUUCAUAUCGACGCAGGGCCGCAGGAAAUGACCUGAGAAGGGAUUGACAACAUUGACGAUGUCAUCACUGCUGUCUCCAGAGAAUUUCACGUCUGAGCUGAUCCAAGGGCGCCCUGACCAGAGACGUCUCGUUGUCAGGCCAACAGCAGGAUGAUGUUCAACUACUGAAUCCCUCUGAACCCUGAACACAACAGGGAGUGGUGAUGCCGCAGUGGUUAAGAUAUGUGCCUUUGGUGUGAGAGACCUGGUUUCAAUUCCUACUGCAACACUUCACCAUUGUGCCCCAGAUGCUUAACUCCUUGUUUCUCCUUUUUGACAUAUAUAGCAAUUGGAAGUUACUUUGGAUAAAAGCAUCAGCUAAAUCAAAUUCUUUGGAGAGAAAACCACAACACUGCCGGCCACUCGCAGAGGAAGGAGGAGGCUGUUACAUGAACAUGAAGUGAUCAGAGCGCAGAUCUCAUUUCACCCAGUGUCAGGAUGGAGGGAACUAUUCUUCUGUGGCUGCUCUUUCUGACGUCACUGCUGAGCUGCACAACAAACCAGGCUCUUGCAGCCUCUCUGACUGUGAGUCCCAGCAGCUCUCAGCUGUUUGAAGAUAAAUCUGUCUCUCUGAGAUGUGAUGAGGACGAUAGCUCUGCUGGAUGGACGCUGAGGAGGAACACAACCAGACGACAGAUGACUCAGUGUGGAGCUGGCUGGGGAAGAUCAGCUGGUUCUUCCUGUAGCAUCACUCUGACAGUCACAUGGGACAGUGGAGUUUACUGGUGUGAGUCCAGAGAGGGAGCAACCAGUAACACCAUCAACAUCACUGUCACUGGUGGACCAGUGAUCCUGCAGAGUCCUGUCCUCCCUGUGAUGGAGGGACAGGAUGUCACUCUG